AUACGGAGGAUCCGAGCGUUAUCCGGAUUUAUUGGGUUUAAAGGGUGCGCAGGCGGCCGUUUAAGUCAGCGGUUAAAUCGUGGGGCUCAACCCCAUUCUGCCGUUGAUACUGGGUGGCUUGAUUGCGGUCGAGGUUGGCGGAAUUCGUUGUGUAGCGGGGAAAUGCAUAGAUAUGACGAAGAACACCGAUUGCGUAGGCAGCUGACCAGAUCGCAAAUGACGCUCAUGCACGAAAGUGCGGGGAUCGAACAGGAUUAGAUACCCUGGUAGUCCGCACAGUAAACGAUGAAUACUUGUUUUCGGCGAUAUAAUGUCGGAGGCAAAGCGAAAGCGAUAAGUAUUCCACCUGGGGAGUACGCCGGCAACGGUGAAACUCAAAUGAAUUGACGGGG
RNAcentral lists this ribosomal RNA (392 nucleotides) under uncultured bacterium. Its description in RNAcentral is "partial 16S ribosomal RNA". It matches the Rfam family "Bacterial small subunit ribosomal RNA", at positions 523 to 918 of the family's 1533-position model. The record is from RNAcentral.